This 266-nucleotide signal recognition particle RNA is filed under the name Pullulanibacillus pueri. RNAcentral's name for it is "Bacterial large signal recognition particle RNA". It matches the Rfam family "Bacterial large signal recognition particle RNA". Rfam says of the family: The signal recognition particle (SRP) is a universally conserved ribonucleoprotein involved in the co-translational targeting of proteins to membranes. Archaeal SRP consists of a 7S RNA and homologues of the eukaryotic SRP19 and SRP54 proteins. Lineage: Bacteria; Bacillati; Bacillota; Bacilli; Caryophanales; Sporolactobacillaceae. The record is from Rfam by way of RNAcentral.
UCGUGCUAAGCGGGGAGGUAGCGGUGCCCUGUACUCGCAAUCCGCUAUAGCGAGGCCGAAGCCCUUCUAGAGGUUCUGAUGUUGUGGGGUCUGCCUUAAGUAAGUAGUGUUGACAUUCGGGUCCCGCGCAACGGAAACUCAUGAACCCUGUCAGGUCCGGAAGGAAGCAGCAGUAAGUGAGACCUUUCGUGUGCCGUGGGGUUGCCUGGAUCGAGCCAACUGCUUAAGAAGCGCUCAUGAUGUCAGGAUCGACGGAAGGUGCACGA